This 426-nucleotide ribosomal RNA is filed under the name uncultured prokaryote. Its description in RNAcentral is "partial 16S ribosomal RNA". The record is from RNAcentral.
CCCUAUGUGAAUAGGUUACACUCUCUGUACCAACCUGCACAUCUCCACCAGAUCCAGGAUCUGAAGAUCCAUCAUACACUUCGUAAUAUGUUGUGCUUGGAGUACUGUUCUUAACGAGGAAACUUUCUGAAUAUGCAAGUGUUGCGGCAUCUGUUGUCCACCCGCCAUAGAACGAAUACUGUUCUGCCAUCUCGGCUUCUGAACCGGAAACACUAACCGUUGUGAAUACCUUGUCAAUGUUAUUUCUCUUCUCGAGAUAUGCACAGUUAGAGUUUUCUGUGUAUUGUCCUUCUACAAGUUCAGAACCGAUAUGCGAUGAUAUCUCAAGCGUGUGGUCCGUCCAGAGAAUAACAUGAUCGCCAAUCUGCACACCCGUGAAAUCGGCAUCAGCACACGUCCAUGUACUUCCUGAAUUGGCGGGAGGGC